This 497-nucleotide ribosomal RNA is filed under the name uncultured bacterium. RNAcentral describes it as "partial 16S ribosomal RNA". It matches the Rfam family "Bacterial small subunit ribosomal RNA", at positions 28 to 507 of the family's 1533-position model. The record is from RNAcentral.
GAUGAACGCUGGCGGCGUGCCUAAUACAUGCAAGUCGAGCGAACGGACGAAAAGCUUGCUUCUCUGAUGUUAGCGGCGGACGGGUGAGUAACACGUGGAUAACCUACCUAUAAGACUGGGAUAACUUCGGGAAACCGGAGCUAAUACCGGAUAAUAUUUUGAACCGCAUGGUUCAAAAGUGAAAGACGGUCUUGCUGUCACUUAUAGAUGGAUCCGCGCUGCAUUAGCUAGUUGGUAAGGUAACGGCUUACCAAGGCAACGAUGCAUAGCCGACCUGAGAGGGUGAUCGGCCACACUGGAACUGAGACACGGUCCAGACUCCUACGGGAGGCAGCAGUAGGGAAUCUUCCGCAAUGGGCGAAAGCCUGACGGAGCAACGCCGCGUGAGUGAUGAAGGUCUUCGGAUCGUAAAACUCUGUUAUUAGGGAAGAACAUAUGUGUAAGUAACUGUGCACAUCUUGACGUUACCUAAUCAGAAAGCCACGGCUAACUACGUG